GACACUUUGGCCGAGUGGUUAAGGCGAUAGCCUGCUAACAGAGCUCAUGCCUGUAGACAAGCUAUUACGUUCGCGUGCGUGUGUUCGAAUCACACAGGUGUCG
This 103-nucleotide transfer RNA is filed under the name Moelleriella libera RCEF 2490. RNAcentral describes it as "Aschersonia aleyrodis RCEF 2490 tRNA". It matches the Rfam family "tRNA". From Rfam's summary of the family: Transfer RNA (tRNA) molecules are approximately 80 nucleotides in length. Their secondary structure includes four short double-helical elements and three loops (D, anti-codon, and T loops). The record is from Rfam by way of RNAcentral. Lineage: Eukaryota; Fungi; Ascomycota; Sordariomycetes; Hypocreales; Clavicipitaceae.